GGGGGCGACACGGCUUCGACGGGGGCAAGGGAUCGUGGGAUGCAUGCCGAGCCAUUUCCACCCGACUCGUUAAACCGGCGGAAACACAAUGCAACUGCGGACACGCAGCUCGCACUCGCGGCCUAAUCCCCGCGACGUGCACCCUCACCAGCCUGCGGGUGGGGAGUGCACGCCAUUUAGCAGGCUGGUUCUCUAGCGCGUCCGGCGCCUGAGGACGAGACUUCACGGACUAGCGGCCGGCACGUUCGUCGAACUUCGAUGACGGUCGCGAACCUUUAAGUUCGACUACGCAUGUAGACGCCUACGGUGACAGGCCUUUCGGACGCGGGUUCGACUCCCGCCGCCUCCACCA
Molecule: transfer-messenger RNA, 352 nt
Filed under: Acidobacteriota bacterium
Lineage: Bacteria; Pseudomonadati; Acidobacteriota
Also listed under: 2 other names
Description: Acidobacteria bacterium transfer-messenger RNA
Rfam family: transfer-messenger RNA
About the family: Bacterial tmRNA, also known as 10Sa RNA or SsrA, is named for its dual tRNA and mRNA-like properties. Its role is to liberate the mRNA from a stalled ribosome. To accomplish this part of the tmRNA is used as a reading frame that ends in a translation stop signal.
Source: RNAcentral